AGGACGAACGCUGGCGGCGUGCUUAACACAUGCAAGUCGAACGAUGAAGCCCUUCGGGGUGGAUUAGUGGCGAACGGGUGAGUAACACGUGGGCAACCUGCCCUCCACUCUGGGAUAACUCCGGGAAACCGGGGCUAAUACUGGAUAUGACCUGGGAUCGCAUGGUCCUGGGUGGAAAGUUUUUCGGUGGAGGAUGGGCCCGCGGCCUAUCAGCUUGUUGGUGGGGUGAUGGCCUACCAAGGCGGUGACGGGUAGCCGGCCUGAGAGGGCGACCGGCCACACUGGGACUGAGACACGGCCCAGACUCCUACGGGAGGCAGCAGUGGGAAUAUUGCGCAAUGGGCGGAAGCCUGACGCAGCGACGCCGCGUGGGGGAUGAAGGCCUUCGGGUUGUAAACCCUUCAGCAGGACGAAGCGCAAGUGACGGUACCUGCAGAAGAAGCGCCGGCUAACUACGCGCCAGCAGCCGC
Molecule: ribosomal RNA, 470 nt
Filed under: uncultured bacterium
Lineage: Bacteria
Description: SSU rRNA
Rfam family: Bacterial small subunit ribosomal RNA
Source: RNAcentral